UACGUAGGUGGUGAGCGUUGUCCGGAUUUACUGGGCGUAAAGGGAGCGUAGGCGGACUUUUAAGUGAGAUGUGAAAUACCCGGGCUUAACUUGGGUGCUGCAUUUCAAACUGGAAGUCUAGAGUGCAGGAGAGGAGAAUGGAAUUCCUAGUGUAGCGGUGAAAUGCGUAGAGAUUAGGAAGAACACCAGUGGCGAAGGCGAUUCUCUGGACUGUAACUGACGCUGAGGCUCGAAAGCGUGGGGAGCAAACAGGAUUAGAUACCCCGGUAGU
RNAcentral lists this ribosomal RNA (271 nucleotides) under uncultured prokaryote. RNAcentral describes it as "partial 16S ribosomal RNA". It matches the Rfam family "Bacterial small subunit ribosomal RNA", at positions 524 to 794 of the family's 1533-position model. The record is from RNAcentral.